AUACGGAGGGGGCUAGCGUUGUUCGGAAUUACUGGGCGUAAAGCGUACGUAGGCGGACUGAUCAGUUGGGGGUGAAAUCCCAGGGCUUAACCCUGGAACUGCCUUCAAUACUGUCAGUCUUGAGUUUGGGAGAGGUGAGUGGAAUUCCUAGUGUAGAGGUGAAAGUCGUAGAUAUUAGGAGGAACACCAGUGGCGAAGGCGGCUCACUGGCCCAUUACUGACGCUGAGGUACGAAAGCGUGGGGAGCAAACAGGAUUAGAUACCCUAGUAGUCC
This 274-nucleotide ribosomal RNA is filed under the name uncultured bacterium. Its description in RNAcentral is "partial 16S ribosomal RNA". It matches the Rfam family "Bacterial small subunit ribosomal RNA", at positions 523 to 796 of the family's 1533-position model. The record is from RNAcentral.